Molecule: long non-coding RNA, 1926 nt
Filed under: Helianthus annuus (common sunflower)
Lineage: Eukaryota; Viridiplantae; Streptophyta; Magnoliopsida; Asterales; Asteraceae
Source: RNAcentral
AGAAGCAGAGGUUGAGAGCGGUUUUCCUUUCCUUGGAUUUCUCCCCAUGUCGCCGGUCAAACCCACUCUUCUUCUCUUUCUCUGCUCAAAAACAAUUCAUAGUUUUCCCAAUUUCUAUUUCGGUUCCCAAGCACUGGAGCAUAUUCAAAAAUCCGCUCAUCUUACAAUCCUUUGGAGUGGUUUGGUGGAUUGGUGUUCAGAUUUCCUCUCGCCGCAUUUUUGACUAGGUUAUUUCAAUCGAAAUCGACGGCGACGGUGGACUUGAAACCGAUGAUAAUUAGGGUUUAAUUGUUGAGUUAAGUGAAAUCCCAGGUUAUAUCUUCGUCAAGAUGGUGAUUCGAACAUCCAGUGAAAAGGGGUUAGGGUGAAAUGCAAGUCCACUGAAGGGCAGGUUCAAAUGCACUUGACCACAUUAGAAUCUUAUGAAGCCGAGCCGUGUUGGAAAAAAGGUGGUGAAGUCUAUAGACUUUUUUGAUGUUGGAGGCCAAAGAAACGAACGGAAGGAACCAGACGAGGGGAAUUUAUUUAUCUGAAAGGCGUUAGAGCUGUCAUAUAUUGUGUUGCUAUAAUAUAUUCUUAUGUUCCUCAUAAUCUCAACUACUUUCUAGGCUAAUCUUAACCAUUCAAAGUCCCUAACUUUUAAUCAUGACCCUUUAAAAUCAAACUUUUCUUCCAGAAGCAGCAGUUAGUAGCAGUUCCACCCUCUCCCUCCUCAAAACUGCAGUUGUCGUCUCCCCCUUUUUUUCCUCCCCGUGUCGCCUACCUCCAUAUAUAACCUAUCAUGAAAUUGAAGACGAUGAUGAGUCCAGAGAUGUAUACAUAUUUUCUUUUAGAUUUCUCCUAAGGUAGCUUUCAGAUUCUGCAUAAAUUCUUUCAUUAGUUAAUUUUUAAUUAGUGUUGUUAUACGAAUUCUGCUGCUUGUCCGUUGCUGCUCGAUUUCGUCGUUUUAUAUCUCAAUCACAACAAAGGAAACCGUUGCACCAACAAUCGAAGUAUUGGAGCAGCAUUUAUUAAUAUUUGUUUGUUGUGUCGCCGCAACCACCGAUCGGGUUGCAUAGACCAAGCUAGCAUUGGAAUUGCAGAAAAAUGGGGCCGGCUCGAGAUAUUGGCUGAGCCAGGGAUCAAUUUCUUCGACCCUUGGGCCGGGGGAACCGAUUGAAAGCCGUAGGAAAUUGAAGGGUUCUCGUCGGGUUUGAUCUUAAAAUCUAGUGCUGCUGAUUAUUGAAGGUACACUGCUUUUGCCCUAAUUUUACCCCAAUUUUGUUGAUUAGUUGACUUAAAUCGGUUCUUAUUUGAUGAUUUGGAGUGUUUAGUUUAAGGGAUUUGUGUUGUUUAAAUGAUUUUGAUGGGAAUAGAGGAUGUAAGUUCUGAAUUGUUAUAGCUUGAUUAUUUUGAAAUGUAUAUUUUUAAGGUUUUCAUUAUGUGAACGAACAUGUUGAUGUCCAAGAACUGACUGAUGGCCACUCGUCUGAUGGUGUAAUUUGUGUUUGUGACCAGGUAUGAUCCGGAUCGGCUAACCCGACCCGGUUAUCACCUAUUAUUUUAUUAUAAGUAUUCAAUUACACAUGUUUAUUCCAGAAUGUUUUAUUCUGUAUGGAUAAACCACGUAACCAAGUCCCCAACUUUUUGGGAAGAUCAUGCAAAUCCCUAGCUUAUCCGAGCUCAUCCUAAAUUAGGGGAAACCCUAAUGGUAAACUAUAAAUAGAGGUAAACAUCAAAGGUACGAAUCAUCUUACUCUCGUUUACUCUCUCUCUACAUCAAUACUUUCUUUCUCCCAAACCGAGACUUAUUCUCACGCCGGAGGGUGGUUACAGGAAUAACCCUAUUCCUGUUACGAGUCCUAAUGGUGUUCUGUUUUGCAGUCAGCUGUUCAGAUCGCCAAAGAGUUGAAGUCCUAGCCGGAGCUUACCCAUAAGGUCAGUGUU